UACAGAGGUCCCAAGCGUUGUUCGGAUUCACUGGGCGUAAAGGGUGCGCAGGUGGGUUGGCAAGUUCGAUGUGAAAGCCCCGGGCUUAACCCGGGAAUGGCAUUGGAUACUGUUGAUCUGGAGGGUCGGAGGGGGGACUGGAAUUCUUGGUGUAGCAGUGAAAUGCGUAGAUAUCAUGAGGAACACCAGAGGCGAAGGCGACUUCCUGGACAAUUGCUGACGCUCAGGCACGAAAGCAUGGGGAGCAAAAGGG
RNAcentral lists this ribosomal RNA (253 nucleotides) under uncultured bacterium. RNAcentral describes it as "partial 16S ribosomal RNA". It matches the Rfam family "Bacterial small subunit ribosomal RNA", at positions 524 to 776 of the family's 1533-position model. The record is from RNAcentral.